UCCCUGGUAGCUCAGUUGGUGAAGAACCUGCCUGCAAUGCAGAAAACCCAGGUUUGAUCCCUGGGUUGGGAA
This is a transfer RNA of Ovis aries (sheep), 72 nucleotides long. It matches the Rfam family "tRNA". Rfam says of the family: Transfer RNA (tRNA) molecules are approximately 80 nucleotides in length. Their secondary structure includes four short double-helical elements and three loops (D, anti-codon, and T loops). Further hydrogen bonds mediate the characteristic L-shaped molecular structure. tRNAs have two regions of fundamental functional importance: the anti-codon, which is responsible for specific mRNA codon recognition, and the 3' end, to which the tRNAs corresponding amino acid is attached (by aminoacyl-tRNA synthetases). tRNAs cope with the degeneracy of the genetic code in two manners: having more than one tRNA (with a specific anti-codon) for a particular amino acid; and 'wobble' base-pairing, i.e. permitting non-standard base-pairing at the 3rd anti-codon position. Lineage: Eukaryota; Metazoa; Chordata; Mammalia; Artiodactyla; Bovidae. The record is from Rfam.